RNAcentral lists this ribosomal RNA (402 nucleotides) under uncultured bacterium. RNAcentral describes it as "bacterial SSU rRNA". It matches the Rfam family "Bacterial small subunit ribosomal RNA", at positions 355 to 757 of the family's 1533-position model. The record is from RNAcentral.
UGAGGAAUAUUGGUCAAUGGGAGCAAUCCUGAACCAGCAAUGCCGCGUGUGGGAUGACGGGGCUCAGCCCUGUAAACCACUGUCGGACGGGACGAAAGGAGCCUUCAGGGCUCUGGGACGGUACCGUCAAAGGAAGGGUCGGCUAACUACGUGCCAGCAGCCGCGGUAAUACGUAGGACCCGAGCGUUGUCCGGAAUUACUGGGUAUAAAGGGUGCGCAGGCGGCCGUGUGCGUCAGAGGUGAAAUCUCCGGGCUUAACCCGGAGGUGCCUUCGAUACGGCAUGGCUUGAGUCCGAGAGAGGGUGAUGGAAUUCCUGGUGUAGCAGUGAAAUGCGUAGAUAUCAGGAGGAACACCGGUGGCGAAGGCGGUCACCUGGCUCGGCACUGACGCUUAGGCACGAA